UAAGGUUAUUUGAUUAAAACGUAGGGUUACCUCAUGUUAUUUUUAAUAAUAGCAUGUGUGGGUAAUAUAGAUGCAAAUUUAAUGGGUUACUUUAAGUAAUAGUGGUAGGCAAUUCAGUUGCAAAUUAGGGGGUUAUUUUAAAUAUUGUUUAUAAUGGCAUAAGUGGGUAAUUUUGAUGAAGAUUAAGGGGUUACUUUAGUUUAUUUUAUAUAAUGGCAGAGGUGGGUAAUUUAUAUAUAGAUUUAGGGGGUUACUUUAGGCUAUUUUCAUAAUGGCGUAGGUGGGUAAUUUUUUUUAAAACAUAAUAGAUCCAAUGUAUAUGAUGAUUUGAAUCUAUCGAUUGAUGGUUGGAUGUCUUGCUUUUUUGUGAGAAUUUGUAGGAUUUCUCUCUUUUUCUAGGGUGUCCACCUAGGAAUCCUAGGUGGCUUCACCUGGAGGCUUUAAAAGGAGCCUCCAAUUAGUAAUAGUAAGAUAGACAUUAUUAUGCAUCUAGAUCUAAACAUAUCUAGGUGCAUAGUAAAAAUUAUGCAUCUAGAAAUACUAAAACGAUCUACAAUUCGGGACGGAUGGAGUAGUAUAUUGCAAAUGAACUAAGGAGCAUUCAUGAUUAAGAAAAUCGAGAUGGUCAAGUUCUAGCGAACAGUUGAGCAUCUACAUAGCUCGCUUUUAGUGGGACUUAUCUAAAAGAAUUCAAUUGCACUAUUUAAGGAAAAAAAUCGCAAAUGUUUUGUACCUAGUCAUAUUUGCAUCAUGGUUUUCCUCCCUACCAACUGCUCAAGAUGCUUGGCAUCUUACACAUAGAUAUCUUUAAUUGCUUAUUUCAUUUAGUCGAACAACUGCUGCUGAUUGGCUGCAGACACACCGUUCAGAUGGCAUCACUAUCACAUUUCUUGCCUCUUGUUCCGGUACCAUUUCUUUAUACUUUUCUCAAUGAAGAAUAGAAACGACUGACCAUCCAUUAAAUCCAUAGUGCAGUCGAAGUGGUAACUAAUGUAAGAUACUAUGAGCCGUUAAUCCAUUAUGAUUUGCAGAUACCCCCAAAAAUAAUAUUUUGGAUUGUUUCUACUUUCUACUACCCACGCUGAUUCUGUUCACCUCCUGUUCUUUUCAAUGUGCCUCACGCUCAUAAUAAAAAUAUUACGAUUCAUCUUCACAUCUUUCAGGUUUCAUAUACCAGUGAGAUAACCUUCAACUUCGGCACUUGAGGGAGCCAUCAACUGCUCAGUCACAAGAAGUAGCUGAUCACCAAAAAACAUAUAACUUCC
Molecule: long non-coding RNA, 1265 nt
Filed under: Setaria viridis
Lineage: Eukaryota; Viridiplantae; Streptophyta; Magnoliopsida; Poales; Poaceae
Description: long non-coding RNA (SVIR_LNC006040)
Source: RNAcentral